This is a transfer RNA of Zancudomyces culisetae, 71 nucleotides long. It matches the Rfam family "tRNA". From Rfam's summary of the family: Transfer RNA (tRNA) molecules are approximately 80 nucleotides in length. The record is from Rfam. NCBI's taxonomy places the organism in Eukaryota, Fungi, Kickxellomycota, Harpellomycetes, Harpellales, Legeriomycetaceae.
AAAAUAAUAGUUUAAAAGGUAAAAUAUGGGAUAAAAAUCCUAGGUUAUAAGUUCGAAUCUUAUGUAUUUUU